GUUGUUUUCAAAUCUACAUAUAUUUAAAAUUGGAAGGACACAGAGAGGAUUAGCACAGGUCCUUUGCAAGGAUGCCAUGCAAUUUAUAUAUAUAUACGUGGAAGGAUUGU
This is a small nuclear RNA of Callorhinchus milii (elephant shark), 110 nucleotides long. Lineage: Eukaryota; Metazoa; Chordata; Chondrichthyes; Chimaeriformes; Callorhinchidae. The record is from Ensembl.